AAGAGAACUACAAGCACUGAAUUAUAGUUCCAGAGGCUGAAAUUCUUGGUGUAGGGUUGAGAAAAAUUGUUAUCUCUAUUGCUUUCCUCAUGCCCAUCUUGACAGAGGACCAGCUCAAUGGGAGGAUUCCUUCUGGGGUUCAGGAGCCCUGAGAACUGAGAGGACUGCCAAGGAAGGAAUAUGUCCGACAUAGUCUGACUGUUUACUAUGUGCUUCCCACAACUUUUGCUGCCUUGGACCCAGUUCUGACUUGGCUGUUUGAGGGGAAGCAGUUGGUGAGUCAAGCAGACACUGUCAGCUGACUUAAUUGGCACCAGAGCUUCACCAACGUGAAGACGGACUCCUUGUGGAGGCACCAGCUGCCCUGCAGAGGUGGAGGAACUGAUGCUGUUGCCUUGUAAUGCUUGUUCUGAUGCCUGCUGCCACAUGUUCAAUCCCUAUCAUCACCUUCAGUGCCUGUGUCAAACAUGACCUCCUCCAGGUAGCCUCUCAGACUCUUGGGUUAGAAGUCUUUCCCCUCUGAACUCCCAUGGCAUUUUAUCUGUUCUUCUUCUACAAAACUUACUGCUGGCUACUUUCCGUUAGAGGUCUCUGUGCUCACAUCUUAUUCCUUUAUUAGACUGUAAGCUCCCUGUGGGCAGAAACUAGGUCUUAAUCAUACUGUGUCCUUAGAUCCUGGCAUAAUGUCAGUAGGUAAAUAUGUGUGGACCUGAAUUGAAUCAGCUGGUCAUCUGAUUUUAUAAACAAGAGGGGAAAUCUGGAUCGUAUAUGUAUGAUCUAUUUGAAACCACAGGUUCAUGGAAAUCUAACAGGUCUUUGGAAAUUAUCUAGAGGCCUCCUCAUUUUAUCGUUGUGAAACUGAAGCAUAGACUUCAAUGCCUUCUCAUGGUCACGUGUCUGGAGAAUCAUAUCUUGCACUUGGACUCAGGUUCCUGGACCUCCAUCCCAGGUGUCCUGCCCUGACAAAUGAGUGAGCGAGUGAGUGAGCAGACACGCCUUGGAAAGGGCCAGUAGGUCAUUCCCAGAACCACAGCUGGCUUUGGGAGUCAGCUUGCCCCUCACUCACUCACCCAGGAUGAUUUUGAAGUCAGAAGGGCUGAGCAAGUCUGAAUCACGUAGGGUCGGAUCUUCCGGAUCGAGUGACUGGUGGAGGCAGUGUGCGGCGGUCACGAUCCAGCUGGAGCCUGGGGAACAGAACACACGUCUCAUCGUCCUGCACUACUGGGUCUUGCCUCCCUCUGUCUUGAGCUGAGGAUCUUCAGGCUACUCCAGAGGACCCCUCAAGACCUUGAAAAUGGCCAUGCUUCUCUCCAUUGUAUUUUAUGGCCCCCAACUCAAAUGCUCAUAUGAUCCUAAUCUGAAGAUGAGGAUUUAAAUCUGUGAUUUUUACCUGCCUAUUCCAACCAAGGCCAGGACUGAACAUUGUAAACAGGAUUUCAGGGAUCCUUUAAGCCCAUGGCAUUGGUGAGAGCCAGAGAGCCCAAGGUGGGUGCACAGAAAGCCUGUGGUCAACUGGCUGCCUUCUCAGGCCUUGCUUCUCAAAGUGUGGUGCCUGGACCAGCAACAUUAGCAUCACUUGGAGGCUUCUUAGAAAUGAAGACUCUUAGGCCGGCCCCACCUCUGAUCCACUGAAUCAGAAUUUUCAUUUUAACAAGACUCUCCAGUAAUUUGUAUGCAUAUUAAAGUUUAAAAUUGAUGAAUCCGAAGCUACCUACACUGGCUGCACGUUAGAAUUACCUGGUGAAUGAAAAAAGAGUAAAUCAGUGUCUGGACCUAUAUCUAGACCAUUUAUGUCAUGGGGGUGGAGCCCAAGCACAGAUAAUGUUUUAAACAUUUCCUUAGUUAAUUCUACUGCU
This 1856-nucleotide long non-coding RNA is filed under the name Homo sapiens (human). RNAcentral's name for it is "HSALNT0065929". The record is from RNAcentral. Lineage: Eukaryota; Metazoa; Chordata; Mammalia; Primates; Hominidae.